GUAGGUGGCAAGCGUUGUCCGGAAUUAUUGGGGCGUAAAGCGCGCGCAGGCGGUUCUUUAAGUCUGAUGUGAAAGCCCACGGGCUCAACCGUGGAGGGUCAUUGGAAACUGGAGAACUUGAGUACAGAAAGAGGAAAGCGGAAUUCCACGUGUAGCGGUGAAAUGCGUAGAGAUGUGGAGGAACACCAGUGGCGAAGGCGGCUUUCUGGUCUGUAACUGACGCUGAGGCGCGAAAGCGUGGGGAGCAAACAGGAUUAGAUACCCUGGUAGUCCACGCCGUAAACGAUGAGUGCUAAGUGUUAGGGGGUUUCCGCCCCUUAGUGCUGCAGCUAACGCAUUAAGCACUCCGCCUGGGGAGUACGGCCGCAAAGGCUG
RNAcentral lists this ribosomal RNA (375 nucleotides) under uncultured organism. RNAcentral's name for it is "partial 16S ribosomal RNA". It matches the Rfam family "Bacterial small subunit ribosomal RNA", at positions 527 to 896 of the family's 1533-position model. The record is from RNAcentral.